Molecule: ribosomal RNA, 207 nt
Filed under: uncultured bacterium
Lineage: Bacteria
Description: partial 16S ribosomal RNA
Rfam family: Bacterial small subunit ribosomal RNA
Source: RNAcentral
CGUGUAGGCGGCCAGGUAGGUCCGUUGUGAAAACUCGAGGCUCAACCUCGAGACGUCGGCGGAAACCCUCUGGCUAGAGUCCGGAAGAGGAGAGUGGAAUUCCUGGUGUAGCGGUGAAAUGCGCAGAUAUCAGGAAGAACACCCGUGGCGAAGGCGGCUCUCUGGGACGGUACUGACGCUGAGACGCGAAAGCGUGGGGAGCGAACA